Molecule: ribosomal RNA, 272 nt
Filed under: uncultured bacterium
Lineage: Bacteria
Description: partial 16S ribosomal RNA
Rfam family: Bacterial small subunit ribosomal RNA
Source: RNAcentral
GUGCCAGCCGCCGCGGUAACACGUAGGGGGCGAGCGUUGUUCGGAAUCAUUGGGCGUAAAGGGCGUGCAGGCGGUCGUGCAAGUCCGGCGUGAAAGACCCCGGCCCAACCGGGGGGACGCGCUGGAAACUGCAGGGCUUGAGUACAGGAGGGGAUGCCGGAAUUCCAGGUGUAGGGGUGAAAUCUGUAGAUAUCUGGAAGAACACCAAUGGCGAAGGCAGGCAUCUGGCCAUGUACUGACGCUGAGACGCGAAGGUGCGGGGAGCAAACAGG